Molecule: long non-coding RNA, 466 nt
Organism: Medicago truncatula (barrel medic)
Lineage: Eukaryota; Viridiplantae; Streptophyta; Magnoliopsida; Fabales; Fabaceae
Exons: 2
Source: RefSeq, a predicted model, not a curated record
GUUGUUAUACUUAUAAAGUAAUCAUAUAGUGGUUUUUUUUCGUUAGAUGCAAAUUAAGGAUACAAAAAAUGGCUGCAACUUUAAAAAAUGCUUUCAUCAUCUUGCUAUCUCUAAUUCUGGUUGUAACUGGCCAACACAGUUUUCGCCCUUGCAUGACUUAUGAAGAUUGUUUAGAUGAUGAAUGUCUAAAUCGUAGAACUCAGUUUUGUUUUGACAAAACAUGUUACUGCUUGUAAGUGUAACAAUUACGUUAAAAACCCACUAUAUUACGCCAUUUUUUUAUUAGAACACUUUACAAAAAUCACGGGUAUUAAGAUAAGUUGUUGGAGGAAGUACUUCAUCCAUUCCAAAUUAUAUGUCAUUCAAGUAAAAUUUGUUUAUUUCCACAAAACUUGUUUGUGAAGUGAAAAUUAUUUUAUGAUCAAUUAUGAUUCAAGAUGUUAAUGAGUUAUUAUAUUUUCAUCAA